RNAcentral lists this long non-coding RNA (215 nucleotides) under Lathyrus oleraceus (garden pea). RNAcentral describes it as "Pisum sativum (pea) long non-coding RNA (PSAT_LNC002554)". The record is from RNAcentral. Lineage: Eukaryota; Viridiplantae; Streptophyta; Magnoliopsida; Fabales; Fabaceae.
CUCCUCCCACUUCUUAAAUUUCAAAAUCUCUCCCCCUUUUCAAAAACUUUCUUUGCUUUGGAUUUCUAAACUUAGACUUUAUUGCAAAUUAGAAAGUCUGGCCUUAUGCCAUUGCAUUUUUAAACUCUUUUCUUAAAUCAAACUUGUAAAAUAAUCUAAUCAUAUUGACUUAAAAUUUCAAAAGACAAAAAUAACUAACACUCAUUCAAACUCUU